GACGAACGCUGGCGGCGUGCUUAACACAUGCAAGUCGAACGGAAAGGCCCUGCUUUUGUGGGGUGCUCGAGUGGCGAACGGGUGAGUAACACGUGAGUAACCUGCCCUUGACUUUGGGAUAACUUCAGGAAACUUGGGCUAAUACCGGAUAGGAUCUCCUGCUGCAUGGUGGGGGUUGGUAAGUUUCGGCGGUUGGGGAUGGACUCGCGGCUUAUCAGCUUGUUGGUGGGGUAGUGGCUUACCAAGGCUUUGACGGGUAGCCGGCCUGAGAGGGUGACCGGCAACAUAGGGACUGAGAUACGGCCCAGACUCAUACGGGCGGAAGAAGUGGGGAAUAUUGAAGAAAGGGCGGAAGAAUGAUGGAGCAACGCCGCGUGCGGGAGGACGGCACUCGGGUGGGAAACAGAUUUCGACUGUGACGAAGGGUGAGUGAAGGAAAUGGGGAAAGAAGCACCGGCUAACUACGU
Molecule: ribosomal RNA, 467 nt
Filed under: uncultured bacterium
Lineage: Bacteria
Description: partial 16S ribosomal RNA
Rfam family: Bacterial small subunit ribosomal RNA
Source: RNAcentral